AUAGCCUCUGGCUAUAGGAAAUUGUUAGUGGCAGACGGGUGAGUAAUGCGUAGGAAUCUACCUAGUAGUACGGAAUAGCCAUUAGAAAUGGUGGGUAAUACUGUAUAAUCCCCGAGGGGGAAAGAUUUAUCGCUAUUAGAUGAGCCUACGUUAGAUUAGCUAGUUGGUGAGGUAAUGGCUUACCAAGGCUAUGAUCUAUAGCUGGUCUGAGAGGACGAUCAGCCACACUGGAACUGAGAUACGGUCCAGACUCCUACGGGAGGCAGCAGUGGGGAAUAUUGGACAAUGGGCGAAAGCCUGAUCCAGCUAUGCCGCGUGAGUGAAGAAGGCCUUCGGGUUGUAAAACUCUUUCAAUAGGGAAG
This 362-nucleotide ribosomal RNA is filed under the name Ehrlichia canis. Its description in RNAcentral is "bacterial SSU rRNA". It matches the Rfam family "Bacterial small subunit ribosomal RNA", at positions 73 to 447 of the family's 1533-position model. Lineage: Bacteria; Pseudomonadati; Pseudomonadota; Alphaproteobacteria; Rickettsiales; Anaplasmataceae. The record is from RNAcentral.